CACUCCUGCGGGAGGCAGCAGUGGGGAAUAUUGGACGAUGGGCGCAAGCCUGAUCCAGCCAUGCCGCGUGAGUGAUGAAGGCCCUAGGGUUGUAAAGCUCUUUCACCGGUGAAGAUAAUGACGGUAACCGGAGAAGAAGCCCCGGCUAACUUCGUGCCAGCAGCCGCGGUAAUACGAAGGGGGCUAGCGUUGUUCGGAUUUACUGGGCGUAAAGCGCACGUAGGCGGACUAUUAAGUCAGGGGUGAAAUCCCGGGGCUCAACCCCGGAACUGCCUUUGAUACUGGUAGUCUUGAGUUCGAGAGAGGUGAGUGGAAUUCCGAGUGUAGAGGUGAAAUUCGUAGAUAUUCGGAGGAACACCAGUGGCGAAGGCGGCUCACUGGCUCGAUACUGACGCUGAGGUGCGAAAGCGUGGGGAGCAAACAGGAUUAGAAACCCGAGUAGUCCCA
RNAcentral lists this ribosomal RNA (447 nucleotides) under uncultured organism. RNAcentral describes it as "partial 16S ribosomal RNA". It matches the Rfam family "Bacterial small subunit ribosomal RNA", at positions 334 to 797 of the family's 1533-position model. The record is from RNAcentral.